GCCGUGGCUCAGUGGAAGAGUAUCUGCUUGGCACGCAGAAGGUCCCAGGUUCAAUCCCUGGCAUCUCCA
This is a non-coding RNA of Eublepharis macularius, 69 nucleotides long. The record is from the annotation of a RefSeq genome assembly. Lineage: Eukaryota; Metazoa; Chordata; Lepidosauria; Squamata; Eublepharidae.